Acanthosepion pharaonis is the source of this 92-nucleotide non-coding RNA. The record is from the annotation of a GenBank genome assembly. NCBI's taxonomy places the organism in Eukaryota, Metazoa, Mollusca, Cephalopoda, Sepiida, Sepiidae.
CACAUCACCGAUUCCCGUACGAUCACCGAAGUUAAGCAAUGUCAUGUUUGAUCAGUAUCUAGAUGGGUGACCGAUUGGGAAUAUCAGGUGUU